CUCAGUAACACGUGGCUAAUCUGCCCUUAGGACGAGAACAACCCCGGGAAACUGGGGCUAAUUCUCGAUAGGUGAAGAACUCUGGAAUGAGUCUUCGCCCAGAAAGCUUCACGUUAUGCGCGUGAGGUCGCCUAAGGAUGAGGCCGCGACCGAUCAGGUUGUUGGUGAGGUAAUGGCUCACCAAGCCUUUUACCGGUGCGGGCCGUGAGAGCGGGAGCCCGGAGAUGGGCACUGAGACAAGGGCCCAGGCCCUACGGGGCGCAGCAGUCGCGAAAACUUUGCAAUACACGAAAGUGUGACAGGGCUAUCCCGAGUGCCAUCCGCUGAGGAAGGCUUUUACCCAGUCUAGAACGCUGGGGGAAUAAGGAGAGGGCAAGUCUGGUGUCAGCCGCCGCGGUAAUACCAGCUCUUCGAGUGGUGUGGAUGUUUAUUGGGCCUAAAGCAUCCGUAGCUGGCUGAGUUAGUCCCCUGUUAAAUCCACCGAAUUAAUCGUUGGAUUGCGGGGGAUACUGCUCGGCUAGGGGACGAGAGAGGCAGACGGUAUUUCCGGGGUAGGGGUGAAAUCCUAUAAUCCCGGGAAGACCACCAGUGGCGAAGGCUGUCUGCUAGAACGCGCCCGACGGUGAGGGAUGAAAGCUGGGGGAGCGAACCGGAUUAGAUACCCGGGUAGUCCCAGCUGUAAACGAUGCAGGCUAGGUGUUUGGA
Molecule: ribosomal RNA, 705 nt
Filed under: uncultured archaeon
Lineage: Archaea
Description: bacterial SSU rRNA
Rfam family: Archaeal small subunit ribosomal RNA
Source: RNAcentral